Molecule: microRNA, 25 nt
Filed under: Bombyx mori (domestic silkworm)
Lineage: Eukaryota; Metazoa; Arthropoda; Insecta; Lepidoptera; Bombycidae
Description: bmo-miR-3215
Source: miRBase by way of RNAcentral
UCUGUUCCCUCGCGCUGUCGCCGCG